AGCUGAGGCCAGAGAUGGAGAAGGAGGCUGGAUUUGUUUUUAAGAUUUUCAUUCCUGUGGUCUAUUCUUCUCAGGUUGUGGCAGGAAAAUAUUACAUGUUCAAGGUGCUGGUUGAUGCAGAUGGGGAUGGAGUGUGUGUUCACGCGUUGAUAUUUCAGCCUCUUCCCUGUACUGGAAAUAAACCGAUUGUGAUUACAACCCAGUACCCCAAAUCCGUUGAUGACCCGCUGAUUCCUCUUGAACACUUACAGAAAUAGUCUUGAUUUAAUAACAGACACAUGCAAUGAACUGCCAUACUGUAUAGAGGAACAACUGAAACCAUUUCAUUCCUCAAUAUUAAACUCCAUAAUCAAA
Carassius auratus (goldfish) is the source of this 354-nucleotide long non-coding RNA. RefSeq lists it as uncharacterized. Lineage: Eukaryota; Metazoa; Chordata; Actinopteri; Cypriniformes; Cyprinidae. The transcript has 2 exons. The record is from RefSeq and is a predicted model, not a curated record.